Capra hircus (goat) is the source of this 2648-nucleotide RNA transcript. It is a transcript of the gene named spermatid perinuclear RNA-binding protein pseudogene, with no coding region annotated. The transcript has a single exon. NCBI's taxonomy places the organism in Eukaryota, Metazoa, Chordata, Mammalia, Artiodactyla, Bovidae. The record is from RefSeq and is a predicted model, not a curated record.
CGCCACUGGGCUGAGGAGCCGGAGACGCAGGCUGACUAGGUGGCGGUGGCAGCGGAGCAGGAGCAGGGACCGGGCGCGGGCAGAGCGCAGCGGUGCGGUGUACUCUAAAGAACAAGCUUUCAGAUAUCUUUGCCAUAUUGACUCUGAGCCAUCAGGGGACUCAGGCUUAUGAGGAGGUACUGUCACACAAAGCAGCGUCUAGUGAAGACGACAAGAAAGAGGGGAAAGGAUCGGAAGAAGAAGCUAAAAUACUAUAGAAAACCAUGAGACCUAUCAGAUCUUUUGCUAAUGAUGAUCGCCAUGUAAUGGUGAAACAUUUGACAAUUUAUCCAUCUCCGGAGGAAGUUGAAGCUGUUCAGAAUAUGGUAUCUACUGUUGAGUGUGCUCUUAAACAUGUCUCAGAUUGGCUGGAUGAAACAAGGCACAAAAGCAGAGGGGGAGACAGAAGUAAAGAAGGAAGAGGCUGUAGACACCUAUUCCAAGGAUCAAGGUGGUCAGACAGUGUGUGGUGUAAUGAGGAUUGGCCUGGUUGCAAAAGGCUUGCUGAUUAAAGAUGAUAUGGACUUGGAGCUGGUUUUAAUGUGCAAAGGCAAACCUACAGAAACCCUGUUAAAUACAGUCAAAGAUAAUCUUCCUAUUCAGAUUCAGAAACUCACAGAAGAGAAAUAUCAAGUGGAACAAUGUGUAGAUGAGGCAUCUAUUAUAAUUCGGAAUACAAAAGAACCCACGCUAACUUUGAAGGUGAUACUUACUUCCCCUCUAAUUAGAGACGAAUUGGAGAAGGAUGGAGAAAAGGUUGCGAUGAAAGAUCCUCCAGACUUAUUGGACAGGCGGAAGUGCCUGAAUGCCUUGGCGUCUCUUCGACAUGCCAAAUGGUUUCAGGCAAGGGCAAAUGGAUUAAAGUCAUGUGUAACUGUCCUCCGCAUUCUCUGUGAUUUGUGCAACAGAGUCCCCACAUGGGCACCAUUAAAAGGAUGGCCACUAGAGCUUAUAUGUGAAAAGUCUAUAGGUACUUGUAAUAGACCUUUGGGCGCUGGGGAGGCCUUGAGACGAGUAAUGGAGUGUUUGGCAUCUGGAAUUCUACUUCCUGGGGGUCCUGGUCUUCAUGAUCCUUGUCAGCGAGAUCCAACAGAUGCUCUGAGCUAUAUGACCAUCUAGCAAAAAGAAGAUAUUACCCACAGUGCACAGCAUGCACUCAGACUAUCAGCCUUUGGUCAGAUUUAUAAAGUGCUGGAGAUGGACCCCCUUCCAUCUAGUAAGCCUUUUCAGAAAUAUUCCUGGUCAGUUACUGAUAAAGAAGGUGCUGGGUCUUCAGCUCUGAAGAGGCCAUUUGAAGAUGGAUUAGGGGAUGAUAAAGAUCCCAAUAAAAAGAUGAAACGAAACUUAAGGAAAAUUCUGGAUAGUAAAGCAAUAGACCUUAUGAAUGCACUAAUGAGGCUGAAUCAGAUCAGGCCUGGGCUUCAGUACAAGCUCUUAUCUCAGUCUGGCCCUGUCCAUGCCCCAGUCUUCACAAUGUCUGUAGAUGUCGAUGGUACAACAUAUGAAGCCUCAGGACCAUCCAAGAAAACAGAGAAGCUUCACGUAGCAGUGAAAGUACUGCAGGCAAUGGGAUACCCAGCGGGCUUUGAUGCAGAUAUUGAAUGUAUGAGUUCCGAUGAAAAGUCCGAUAACGAAGGCAAAAUUGAAACAGUGUCUUCAAACUCAAGCAAUAAUACUGGAAAUUCUACAACUGAAACCUCCAGUACCGUAGAGGUAAGAACUCAGGGCCCUAUUCUCAUAGCAAGUGGCAAAAAUCCUGUCAUGGAGCUCAAUGAAAAAAGAAGAGGUCUUAAGUAUGAACUCAUCUCGGAGACUGGUGGAAGCCAUGACAAACGCUUUGUGAUGGAGGUAGAAGUGGAUGGACAAAAAUUCAGAGGUGCAGGUCCAAAUAAGAAAGUGGCAAAGGCAAGUGGAGCUUUAGCUGCCCUGGAGAAACUGUUUUCUGGACCCAAUGCAGCAAAUAAUAAGAAAAAGAAGAUUAUCCCUCAGGCAAAGGGUGUUGUGUAUACAGCUGUGUCCGCAGCAGUCCAAGCUGUUUGGGGCAGAGGAAGAGGAACUCUAACAAGGAGGGCUUUUGUUGGGGCCACAGCUGCUCCCGGCUACAUAGCUCCAGGCUAUGGAACACCCUAUGGCUACAGCACAGCUGCCCCUGCCUAUGGUUUACCCAAGAGAAUGGUUCUGUUACCUGUUAUGAAAUUCCCAACAUAUCCUGUUGCCCACUACUCAUUCUUUUAGCAAAUGACAGAAGCUAAUUCCUAUUCCAACAACAACCCAGUACAUACAGAAUGUUAGUGAAAAGGCCUUUUUAUCCUGCUUUCUUUGAACACAUACUUGAUCAAAAUUAUUUGUAAAGAACAUCUUUUCCUACUUUUUGAUUUUAACAAAUGCAAAUUUAGUUCUCUAAAACUUGAAAACAAACAAAAAAGAAACUAGUUCUGUGAAACGGUACCUCAUUUCCGGAAAAUAACUUAUACCAGCCCUUCUGUUCUAGGGAAGUAAGUCUAGCAGUUCAAAGUUUAAGUUUUAAGAGGAGUAUCAGAUUAUGCAAAAUUAAAUUUGUGAAGGAUGUAUAGAGUCUCAAACACUGAUCACAAAUAAACUGCUUUGUU